RNAcentral lists this non-coding RNA (22 nucleotides) under Arabidopsis thaliana (thale cress). Lineage: Eukaryota; Viridiplantae; Streptophyta; Magnoliopsida; Brassicales; Brassicaceae. The record is from RNAcentral.
CACAUGAAGAAAGUGAAUGAUG